AUUGAACGCUGGCGGCAUGCCUUACACAUGCAAGUCGAACGGCAGCACGGGGGCAACCCUGGUGGCGAGUGGCGAACGGGUGAGUAAUAUAUCGGAACGUGCCCUGGAGUGGGGGAUAGCUCGGCGAAAGCCGGAUUAAUACCGCAUACGAUCUAUGGAUGAAAGUGGGGGAUCGCAAGACCUCAUGCUCCUGGAGCGGCCGAUAUCUGAUUAGCUAGUUGGUGGGGUAAAAGCCUACCAAGGCGACGAUCAGUAGCUGGUCUGAGAGGACGACCAGCCACACUGGAACUGAGACACGGUCCAGACUCCUACGGGAGGCAGCAGUGGGGAAUUUUGGACAAUGGGGGCAACCCUGAUCCAGCAAUGCCGCGUGUGUGAAGAAGGCCUUCGGGUUGUAAAGCACUUUUGGCGGGAACGAAACGGUUUGGGCUAAUACCCUGAGCUAAUGACGGUACCCGCAGAAUAAGCACCGGCUAACUACGUGCCAGCAGCCGCGGUAAUACGUAGGGUGCAAGCGUUAAUCGGAAUUACUGGGCGUAAAGCGUGCGCAGGCGGUUUGGUAAGACAGAUGUGAAAUCCCCGGGCUCAACCUGGGAAUUGCAUUUGUGACUGCCCGGCUAGAGUGUGUCAGAGGGGGGUAGAAUUCCACGUGUAGCAGUGAAAUGCGUAGAUAUGUGGAGGAAUACCGAUGGCGAAGGCAGCCCCCUGGGAUAACACUGACGCUGAGGCGCGAAAGCGUGGGGAGCAAACAGGAUUAGAUACCCUGGUAGUCCACGCCGUAAACGAUGAGUGCUAGGUGUAGAGGGUAUCGACCCCUUCUGUGCCGCAGUUAACACAAUAAGCACUCCGCCUGGGGAGUACGGCCGCAAGGUUGAAACUCAAAGGAAUUGACGGGGGCCCGCACAAGCGGUGGAGCAUGUGGUUUAAUUCGACGCAACGCGAAGAACCUUACCAGGGCUUGACAUCCUACGAAUCCCUAGGAAACUAGGGAGUGCCCUUCGGGGAGCGUAGAGACAGGUGGUGCAUGGUUGUCGUCAGCUCGUGUCGUGAGAUGUUGGGUUAAGUCCCGCAACGAGCGCAACCCUGUGUUUAGUUGCUAACGAGUAAUGGCGAGCACUCUAGACAGACUGCCGGUGAUAAACCGGAGGAAGGUGGGGAUGACGUCAAAUCAUCAUGCCCCUUAUGUCCUGGGCUACACACGUGCUACAAUGGCCGGUACAGACGGAAGCAAAGCCGCGAGGUGGAGCAAAUCCGAGAAAGCCGGUCUCAGUUCGGAUUGCAGGCUGCAACUCGCCUGCAUGAAGUCGGAAUCGCUAGUAAUCGCAGGUCAGCAUACUGCGGUGAAUACGUUCCCGGGCCUUGUACACACCGCCCGUCACACCACGAAAGUCUGCAACACCCGAAGCCGGUGAGGUAACCCGAAAGGGAGCUAGC
This 1434-nucleotide ribosomal RNA is filed under the name uncultured bacterium. Its description in RNAcentral is "partial 16S ribosomal RNA". It matches the Rfam family "Bacterial small subunit ribosomal RNA". The record is from RNAcentral.